This is a non-coding RNA of Zopfochytrium polystomum, 86 nucleotides long. The record is from the annotation of a GenBank genome assembly. NCBI's taxonomy places the organism in Eukaryota, Fungi, Chytridiomycota, Chytridiomycetes, Chytridiales, Chytridiaceae.
GACUCCUUAGCUCAACGGUAGAGCAUUCGACUCCAGAUACUUUCCGGGUUAUCGAAAGGUUGCGUGUUCAAAUCACGUAGGGGUCA